UGGGGAAUAUUGGACAAUGGGCGCAAGCCUGAUCCAGCCAUGCCGCGUGAGUGACGAAGGCCUUAGGGUUGUAAAGCUCUUUUGGCGGGGAAGAUAAUGACGGUACCCGCAGAAUAAGCUCCGGCUAACUUCGUGCCAGCAGCCGCGGUAAUACGAAGGGAGCUAGCGUUGUUCGGAAUCACUGGGCGUAAAGCGCACGUAGGUGGGCAGUUAAGUCAGGGGUGAAAGCCCGAGGCUCAACCUCGGAAUUGCCUCUGAUACUGGCUGUCUAGAGUUCGAGAGAGGUGAGUGGAAUUCCUAGUGUAGAGGUGAAAUUCGUAGAUAUUAGGAAGAACACCGGUGGCGAAGGCGGCUCACUGGCUCGAUACUGACACUGAGGUGCGAAAGCGUGGGGAGCAAACAGGAUUAGAUACCCGGGUAGUCCCUGAGCGGGCUGGCAAGGCGCAU
RNAcentral lists this ribosomal RNA (447 nucleotides) under uncultured bacterium. RNAcentral describes it as "bacterial SSU rRNA". It matches the Rfam family "Bacterial small subunit ribosomal RNA", at positions 355 to 825 of the family's 1533-position model. The record is from RNAcentral.